RNAcentral lists this ribosomal RNA (584 nucleotides) under Pseudomonas sp. SVBP3. Its description in RNAcentral is "bacterial SSU rRNA". It matches the Rfam family "Bacterial small subunit ribosomal RNA", at positions 77 to 657 of the family's 1533-position model. Lineage: Bacteria; Pseudomonadati; Pseudomonadota; Gammaproteobacteria; Pseudomonadales; Pseudomonadaceae. The record is from RNAcentral.
AGCUUGCUUCUCUUGAGAGCGGCGGACGGGUGAGUAAUGCCUAGGAAUCUGCCUGGUAGUGGGGGAUAACGUCCGGAAACGGACGCUAAUACCGCAUACGUCCUACGGGAGAAAGCAGGGGACCUUCGGGCCUUGCGCUAUCAGAUGAGCCUAGGUCGGAUUAGCUAGUUGGUGAGGUAAUGGCUCACCAAGGCGACGAUCCGUAACUGGUCUGAGAGGAUGAUCAGUCACACUGGAACUGAGACACGGUCCAGACUCCUACGGGAGGCAGCAGUGGGGAAUAUUGGACAAUGGGCGAAAGCCUGAUCCAGCCAUGCCGCGUGUGUGAAGAAGGUCUUCGGAUUGUAAAGCACUUUAAGUUGGGAGGAAGGGUACUUACCUAAUACGUGAGUAUUUUGACGUUACCGACAGAAUAAGCACCGGCUAACUCUGUGCCAGCAGCCGCGGUAAUACAGAGGGUGCAAGCGUUAAUCGGAAUUACUGGGCGUAAAGCGCGCGUAGGUGGUUCGUUAAGUUGGAUGUGAAAUCCCCGGGCUCAACCUGGGAACUGCAUCCAAAACUGGCGAGCUAGAGUAUGGUAGAGG